This 422-nucleotide ribosomal RNA is filed under the name uncultured bacterium. RNAcentral describes it as "bacterial SSU rRNA". It matches the Rfam family "Bacterial small subunit ribosomal RNA", at positions 355 to 774 of the family's 1533-position model. RNAcentral also lists the same sequence under 1 other name. The record is from RNAcentral.
UGAGGAAUAUUGGUCAAUGGACGAGAGUCUGAACCAGCCAAGUAGCGUGAAGGAUGACUGCCCUAUGGGUUGUAAACUUCUUUUAUAAGGGAAUAAAGUGAGGGACGUGUCCCUUUUUGUAUGUACCUUAUGAAUAAGGAUCGGCUAACUCCGUGCCAGCAGCCGCGGUAAUACGGAGGAUCCAAGCGUUAUCCGGAUUUAUUGGGUUUAAAGGGAGCGUAGGUUGACAUAUAAGUCAGCUGUGAAAGUUUACGGCUCAACCGUGAAAUUGCAGUUGAUACUGUAUGUCUUGAGUGUACAAGAGGUGGGCGGAAUUCGUGGUGUAGCGGUGAAAUGCUUAGAUAUCACGAAGAACUCCAAUUGCGAAGGCAGCUCACUGGGGUACAACUGACACUGAGGCUCGAAAGUGUGGGUAUCAAACA